Molecule: ribosomal RNA, 501 nt
Filed under: uncultured bacterium
Lineage: Bacteria
Description: partial 16S ribosomal RNA
Rfam family: Bacterial small subunit ribosomal RNA
Source: RNAcentral
AUUGAACGCUGGCGGAAUGCUUUACACAUGCAAGUCGAACGGCAGCACGGGUGCUUGCACCUGGUGGCGAGUGGCGAACGGGUGAGUAAUACAUCGGAACGUACCCAGUUGUGGGGGAUAACUAACCGAAAGGUUAGCUAAUACCGCAUACGACCUGAGGGUGAAAGCGGGGGACCGUAAGGCCUCGCGCAAUUGGAGCGGCCGAUGUCUGAUUAGCUAGUUGGUAGGGUAAAGGCCUACCAAGGCGACGAUCAGUAGCUGUCUGAGAGGAUGAUCAGCCACACUGGAACUGAGACACGGUCCAGACUCCUACGGGAGGCAGCAGUGGGGAAUUUUGGACAAUGGGCGAAAGCCUGAUCCAGCCAUUCCGCGUGAGUGAAGAAGGCCUUCGGGUUGUAAAGCUCUUUCGGCAGGGAAGAAACGGCCUAGGUUAAUACCUUGGGCUAAUGACGGUACCUGAAGAUGAAGCACCGGCUAACUACGUGCCAGCCGCCGCAGUAA